This 700-nucleotide long non-coding RNA is filed under the name Arachis ipaensis. RNAcentral describes it as "long non-coding RNA (AIPA_LNC001544)". Lineage: Eukaryota; Viridiplantae; Streptophyta; Magnoliopsida; Fabales; Fabaceae. The record is from RNAcentral.
UAUAUUUGGACCCGCACCAAAUGAAUGUUUUAAUAUUUUUCUUUUAUUUCAUUGUAGGCUAAACACCAACUAAUAUCCAAUAUUUGAUAUAAGCUCUUAAACAAAAUCAAAGGGUAUUAUUAUGUAAGAACGUGCUUUUCAGAGUUCAUGGAAAUCAACAGACAAUCAAGCAAGCUUGGUCUAAAUAAUAAAUUAUUUUAAAAGAACACUUUACUACAAUUAGAAGUCUUUAUUUGUUUUUAUAUUAAUCAUUUGUUGUAGCUAUAAAACAUGGCCCAUGGUAACCUUAAUUGUUCACACAACAAAAAAGAAGAUGCAUAUGGCUAAUAACGGUGUAACACAUGCACUAAUAAUAUUUAUGAUUGGAAUAUUUAUUUUUGCUGCCAUUGCUAAAUUCCAUGAUACCAUCCCUGAAUCUUCUUGGAAUAGUGUGAAAGAAUGUGUUGAUAAAUGCAAUGCACAAUAUCCCGAUGACACAUUUAAGAGGAAUCUUUGCAUUUUCAAGUGCAAUAUGAUACAUUAGUAGGCAAUGGUAAGUAUCUAAAAUGUUGUGACCUUUUUUGAGUUUAUAUCUUAAUUAUAUAUUUUAUGUUUAUGUAAUAAAAUUUCCACUCUUUCUUGAGUGUGUAGUGAUAAAUAAAUUAUGAAAAAAAUAGCUAAUGCAUGAAAUUUUACGGUUUUUUUUUUCUCUAUAAUUGCC